UUUGAGGGGAAUGUUGUUUGGCUCGAGGCCACCAACUUCAUCUAAUGUGAGCAAACUCUUUGUUAGUGUCGUCGGACCAGGCUUCAUUCCCCUCAAA
RNAcentral lists this microRNA precursor (97 nucleotides) under Solanum lycopersicum (tomato). Its description in RNAcentral is "mir-166 microRNA precursor family". It matches the Rfam family "mir-166 microRNA precursor family". Rfam says of the family: This family represents the plant microRNA (miRNA) precursor mir-166. Animal miRNAs are transcribed as ~70nt precursors and subsequently processed by the Dicer enzyme to give a ~22nt product. Lineage: Eukaryota; Viridiplantae; Streptophyta; Magnoliopsida; Solanales; Solanaceae. RNAcentral also lists the same sequence under 1 other name. The record is from Rfam by way of RNAcentral.